CUACGGGGGGCUGCAGUCGAGAAUCUUUUGCAAUGGGCGAAAGCCUGACAAUGCGACGCCGCGUGAGCGAUGAAGGCCUUCGGGUCGUAAAGCUCUGUUUGCCUGGAAGAAAGACGUUGGUCGAAUAGGCCAACGGGAUGACGGUACAGGCAGAGGAAGUCACGGCUAACUCCGUGCCAGCAGCCGCGGUAAUACGGAGGUGGCAAGCGUUGUUCGGAUUUAUUGGGUGUAAAGGGUAUGUAGGUGGUUAUGUAAGUCGAGCGUGAAAUCCUUUGGCUCAACCAAAGAACUGCACUCGAAACUGCUUAACUUGAGUUCAGGAGAGGAAAGUGGAAUUCCCGGUGUAAGAGUGACAUCUGUAGAUAUCGGGAGGAACACCAGUGGCGAAAGCGACUUUCUAGACUGAUACUGACACUGAAAUACGAAAGCUAGGGGAGCAAACAGGAUUAGAUACCCGCGUAGUC
This 464-nucleotide ribosomal RNA is filed under the name uncultured bacterium. Its description in RNAcentral is "partial 16S ribosomal RNA". It matches the Rfam family "Bacterial small subunit ribosomal RNA", at positions 339 to 795 of the family's 1533-position model. The record is from RNAcentral.